RNAcentral lists this ribosomal RNA (305 nucleotides) under uncultured bacterium. RNAcentral describes it as "bacterial SSU rRNA". It matches the Rfam family "Bacterial small subunit ribosomal RNA", at positions 337 to 656 of the family's 1533-position model. The record is from RNAcentral.
GCCUACGGGACGCAGCAGUGGGGAAUAUUGGGCAAUGGAGGAAACUCUGACCCAGCAAUGCCGCGUGAAUGAAGAAGGUCUUCGGAUUGUAAAGUUCUUUAGUCAGGGAAGAAGUCAAUGACGGUACCUGAAGAAUAAGCCCCGGCUAACUACGUGCCAGCAGCCGCGGUAAUACGUAGGGGGCAAGCGUUAUCCGGAUUUACUGGGUGUAAAGGGAGCGUAGACGGCUGUGCAAGUCUGAAGUGAAAUGCCGGGGCCCAACCCCGGAACUGCUUUGGAAACUGUACAGCUAGAGUGCAGGAGGG